AUUGAACGCUGGCGGCAUGCCUUACACAUGCAAGUCGAACGGCAGCACGGGUGCUUGCCCCUGGUGGCGAGUGGCGAACAGGUGAGUAAUACAUCGGAACAUGUCCUGUAGUGGGGGAUAGCCCGGCGAAAGCCGGAUUAAUACCGCAUACGAUCUACGGAUGAAAGCGGGGGACCUUCGGGCCUCGCGCUAUAGGGUUGGCCGAUGGCUGAUUAGCUAGUUGGUGGGGUAAAGGCCUACCAAGGCGACGAUCAGUAGCUGGUCUGAGAGGACGACCAGCCACACUGGGACUGAGACACGGCCCAGACUCCUACGGGAGGCAGCAGUGGGGAAUUUUGGACAAUGGGCGAAAGCCUGAUCCAGCAAUGCCGCGUGUGUGAAGAAGGCCUUCGGGUUGUAAAGCACUUUUGUCCGGAAAGAAAUCCUUGGCCCUAAUACGGUCGGGGGAUGACGGUACCGGAAGAAUAAGCACCGGCUAACUACGUG
This 486-nucleotide ribosomal RNA is filed under the name uncultured bacterium. RNAcentral's name for it is "partial 16S ribosomal RNA". It matches the Rfam family "Bacterial small subunit ribosomal RNA", at positions 30 to 507 of the family's 1533-position model. The record is from RNAcentral.